This 563-nucleotide ribosomal RNA is filed under the name Fusarium avenaceum. Its description in RNAcentral is "eukaryotic LSU rRNA". The stretch from base 194 to 347 matches the Rfam family "5.8S ribosomal RNA". The record is from RNAcentral. Lineage: Eukaryota; Fungi; Ascomycota; Sordariomycetes; Hypocreales; Nectriaceae.
CGUAACAAGGUCUCCGUUGGUGAACCAGCGGAGGGAUCAUUACCGAGUUUACAACUCCCAAACCCCUGUGAACAUACCUUAAUGUUGCCUCGGCGGAUCAGCCCGCGCCCCGUAAAACGGGACGGCCCGCCAGAGGACCCAAACUCUAAUGUUUCUUAUUGUAACUUCUGAGUAAAACAAACAAAUAAAUCAAAACUUUCAACAACGGAUCUCUUGGUUCUGGCAUCGAUGAAGAACGCAGCAAAAUGCGAUAAGUAAUGUGAAUUGCAGAAUUCAGUGAAUCAUCGAAUCUUUGAACGCACAUUGCGCCCGCUGGUAUUCCGGCGGGCAUGCCUGUUCGAGCGUCAUUUCAACCCUCAAGCCCCCGGGUUUGGUGUUGGGGAUCGGCUCUGCCUUACGGCGGUGCCGCCCCCGAAAUACAUUGGCGGUCUCGCUGCAGCCUCCAUUGCGUAGUAGCUAACACCUCGCAACUGGAACGCGGCGCGGCCAUGCCGUAAAACCCCAACUUCUGAAUGUUGACCUCGGAUCAGGUAGGAAUACCCGCUGAACUUAAGCAUAUCAAU